UACGUAGGGUGCAAGCGUUAAUCGGAAUUACUGGGCGUAAAGCGUGCGCAGGCGGUUCGUUAAGUUCGUUGUGAAAGCCCCGGGCUCAACCUGGGAAUGGCAAUGGAAACUGGCGAGCUUGAGUGUGGCAGAGGGGGGUGGAAUUCCGCGUGUAGCGGUGAAAUGCGUAGAUAUCUGGAGGAACACCGGUGGCGAAGGCGGCAUCCUGGACCGGUAUUGACGCUGAGGCGCGAAAGCCAGGGGAGCAAACGGG
This 253-nucleotide ribosomal RNA is filed under the name uncultured bacterium. RNAcentral describes it as "partial 16S ribosomal RNA". It matches the Rfam family "Bacterial small subunit ribosomal RNA", at positions 524 to 776 of the family's 1533-position model. The record is from RNAcentral.